AUUGAACGCUGGCGGCAUGCCUUACACAUGCAAGUCGAACGGCAGCACGGGAGCAAUCCUGGUGGCGAGUGGCGAACGGGUGAGUAAUAUAUCGGAACGUGCCCAGUCGUGGGGAUAACGUAGCGAAAGCUACGCUAAUACCGCAUACGAUCUAUGGAUGAAAGCGGGGGAUCGCAAGACCUCGCGCGAUUGGAGCGGCCGAUAUCAGAUUAGGUAGUUGGUGAGGUAAAGGCUCACCAAGCCGACGAUCUGUAGCUGGUCUGAGAGGACGACCAGCCACACUGGGACUGAGACACGGCCCAGACUCCUACGGGAGGCAGCAGUGGGGAAUUUUGGACAAUGGGCGCAAGCCUGAUCCAGCAAUGCCGCGUGCAGGAUGAAGGCCUCGGUUGUAACGU
Molecule: ribosomal RNA, 398 nt
Filed under: uncultured bacterium
Lineage: Bacteria
Description: bacterial SSU rRNA
Rfam family: Bacterial small subunit ribosomal RNA
Source: RNAcentral